AUGCGUCCUAUUAGCUAGUUGGUAAGGUAAUAGCUUACCAAGGCGACGAUAGGUAGGGGGCCUGAGAGGGUGAUCCCCCACACUGGUACUGAGACACGGACCAGACUCCUACGGGAGGCAGCAGUGAGGAAUAUUGGUCAAUGGAGGCAACUCUGAACCAGCCAUCCCGCGUGAAGGAUUGAAGGCGCUCGACGUCGUAAACUUCUUUUAUAUAGGAAUAAACUUAGGUACGUGUACUUAAUUGAAUGUACUAUAUGAAUAAGCAUCGGCUAACUCCGUGCCAGCAGCCGCGGUAAUACGGAGGAUGCAAGCGUUAUCCGGAUUUAUUGGGUUUAAAGGGUCCGCAGGCGGACCAGUCAGUCAGUGGUGAAAUCCCAUCGCUCAACGAUGGAACUGCCAUUGAUACUGCUGGUCUUGAGUCUAGUUGACGUAGGCGGAAUAUGACAUGUAGCGGUGAAAUGCAUAGAUAUGUCAUAGAACACCAAUUGCGAAGGCAGCUUACGAAACUACGACUGACGCUCAUGGACGAAAGCGUGGGUAGCGAACAGGAUUAGAUACCCUGGUAGUCCACGCCGUAAACGAUGAUCACUCGAUGUCAGCGAUAUACAGCUGGUGUCUUAGCGAAAGUUUUAAGUGAUCCACCUGGGGAGUACGUUCGCAAGAAUGAAACUCAAAGGAAUUGACGGGGGCCCGCACAAGCGGUGGAGCAUGUGGUUUAAUUCGAUGAUACGCGAGGAACCUUACCUGGGCUUAAAUGUAGAGUGCUUUAGAUGGAAACAUCUUUUUCUUCGGACGCUCUACAAGGUGCUGCAUGGCUGUCGUCAGCUCGUGCUGUGAGGUGUCGGGUUAAGUCCCAUAACGAGCGCAACCCCUAUCUUUAGUUGCUAACAGG
This 892-nucleotide ribosomal RNA is filed under the name marine metagenome. RNAcentral describes it as "bacterial SSU rRNA". It matches the Rfam family "Bacterial small subunit ribosomal RNA", at positions 231 to 1125 of the family's 1533-position model. The record is from RNAcentral.